Molecule: long non-coding RNA, 1122 nt
Filed under: Struthio camelus australis
Lineage: Eukaryota; Metazoa; Chordata; Aves; Struthioniformes; Struthionidae
Description: lncRNA (ENSSCUG00000000809.1)
Source: RNAcentral
CGCUUCCUCCUGAGGGGACAGAUUUCAGGGGCAGAGUGCUUCUCUUCUUGAAGGAGAGAAGUCUAUUAGCGUCAUUGCCAUUAUAUUAGCAGCAGCGACGCAGGCUUUUAACCUUUCACCCAAAGAAACGGGAGAUAUCUACAGUACUAACCAAAGUUAAACAAACAAGGAAUCAUUUCUAACAGCUUAAACCACUUACUCGACGCAGACAAGCUACUUCUGCCUAUUCCCUGGAUGCCAAAAAUUAGCACCGGCCAGCGGUGAAAUAUGAGCUCCGGACGAGCUUGUAUGAGCGGCGACAGCAAAGUUCAAGGCUCGCCGCUGCCUUUCCGCGCGCCUCCAGCCCCGGAGCGCGGCGUGGGUAAACUGAGGCAGGCUCAGCGCCUCCUGCGAGCUUCCUUCCCGGAGACAAACAGCGUCCGACAGCCAGAUGAGCCCCUUCCACCGCCUGGGAGCAGAGGCUGAGGUGAAAAGCAGAAGGCGCUUACACAGCUCUGCUGUCGGGGGGUCACAGGAUAGGAAAACACAAGCUAUUGCCAGCGUUCAUCGGAGAGAAGUUGCCUUUCUCAGCCAGCGGGGGCAGAGGAAUUUGGCCUGGCACCGAGCCUCUCGCUUUCUGCCAUCCCUAACCUACCCUUAGCCUUGCUUUUGCCCAGCUCUUGCCGCGGCCUUGCUCCUUCUCCCGUUUGCUGCUGGCGAUAACUGGGGACGAGCAUCCCGGGGGCGCACGCCUUUGCCUGGCUCGGCCGGUUACGCCGGGCGGCAACGUCCAGGGGACUGUCCUACUUCUUGCCUUCUUUCCCCUUGCCUGCUUUUCUGCCAUCCCUAACCUACCCUUAGCCUUGCUUUUGCCCAGCUCUUGCCGCGGCCUUGCUCCUUCUCCCGUUUGCUGCUGGCGAUAACUGGGGACGAGCAUCCCGGGGGCGCACGCCUUUGCCUGGCUCGGCCGGUUACGCCGGGCGGCAACGUCCAGGGGACUGUCCUACUUCUUGCCUUCUUUCCCCUUGCCUGCUUUUCCCCGUCCUCCUAUAAAACCCGUGCAAACCGUUGGUAAAACCAGCCGCUGGUUCGUCAAAUUCCACGUUGCAAUAAAAAUCACUCGGCGGCGAUAGGGUGAAAGGG